RNAcentral lists this ribosomal RNA (536 nucleotides) under uncultured bacterium. RNAcentral describes it as "bacterial SSU rRNA". It matches the Rfam family "Bacterial small subunit ribosomal RNA", at positions 92 to 630 of the family's 1533-position model. The record is from RNAcentral.
CGCACGGCGCACGGGUGCGUAACACGUGGGCAAUCUGCCCUCCGAUGGGGAAUACCCCCGCGAAAGCGGGACUAAUUCCGCAUAACAUUCCUUGGAUUAACUUUCGAGGAUUCAAAGCAGCAAUGCGUCGGAGGAGGAGCCCGCGCCCGAUUAGCUAGUUGGUGAGGUAACGGCUCACCAAGGCAAUGAUCGGUAGCUGGUCUGAGAGGAUGGCCAGCCACACUGGAACUGAGACACGGUCCAGACUCCUACGGGAGGCAGCAGCGGGGAAUCUUGCACAAUGGGCGAAAGCCUGAUGCAGCGACGCCGCGUGGGGGAUGAAGCUUUUCGGAGUGUAAACCCCUUUCGACUGGGACGAAUGCCUCGCAAGAGGAGUGACGGUACCAGUAUAAGAAGCCCCGGCUAACUACGUGCCAGCAGCCGCGGUAAGACGUAGGGGGCCAGCGUUGUUCGGAAUUACUGGGUGUAAAGGGUUCGUAGGCGGUGUGGCAAGUCGGGAGUGAAAUCUCUGGGCUCAACCCAGAGACUGCUUCCGA